This 405-nucleotide ribosomal RNA is filed under the name uncultured bacterium. RNAcentral describes it as "partial 16S ribosomal RNA". It matches the Rfam family "Bacterial small subunit ribosomal RNA", at positions 28 to 526 of the family's 1533-position model. The record is from RNAcentral.
GACGAACGCUGGCGGCGCGCUUAACACAUGCAAGUCGAGCGAAGCGGCGGACGGGUGAGUAACACGUGAGUAACCUGCCUUAGACAUUGGGAUAGCCUCGGGAAACCGGGAAUAAUACCAAAUGGUUUAAGAUUGACUCGCGUCCCAUUAGCUAGUUGGUGGGUAACGGCCCACCAAGGCGACGAUGGGUCGCCGGCCGGGGGGGGGGAACGGCCACAUUGGAACUGAGAAACGGUCCAAACGCUACGGAAGGCAGCAGUGGGGAAUAUUGCACAAUGGGGGGAACUCUGAUGCAGCGACGCCGCGUGAACGAAGAAGGCUUUCGAGUCGUAAAGUUCUUUUAUAUGGGAAGCGGUACCAUAAGAAAAAGCCCCGGCUAACUACGUGCCAGCGGCCGCGUAAUAC